RNAcentral lists this long non-coding RNA (561 nucleotides) under Chinchilla lanigera (long-tailed chinchilla). RNAcentral describes it as "lncRNA (ENSCLAG00000026277.1)". Lineage: Eukaryota; Metazoa; Chordata; Mammalia; Rodentia; Chinchillidae. The record is from RNAcentral.
AGAUGUCACAGUGCUGAAUUCUGGGGAGUAUGAAAUUGAGGAACAGCAUCUGAUGAGGCCCGGAAGCUGUAUUUUACCAUGGAAAAAUGCAUGUUUUUCCUUGGGUUCUCCCUAUCUCAUUCCAAAAAGCGACAUAAAAACUCAUUUGGACGAGGAUAUUUGAUGUGGAGGAAGCCAACUGCUGUGAAGUCUAUUUUUUGUCAAUUGACAGUAAUAAUGGUCAUUCAAAAUCAAGUUGAAAAUUCCUGCUAUGAUACACCGAGCCUCCGUUUUCCUAGGCUCACGUUUACACUCAGCACUGCAGAAUGAAACUCUUACUGCAUACCACCUUGCCCCCGUACCAACUGCCAAGUCAGCACAAAGUCAACCUGCGCAGGACAGGACUUUUUAGUUGCUCUUACUUACAGUCUCCUUUAAUGUCACUUAGUAUUCAUUCUCCUAGCCAUUAAAUAUAUUUUUACUCUUGUCACAGAAGAUACAUAAUAACUUUUCCUGUAAAAUAUUUUAAUAAACUCUAUUAAAAAUUACUUUAUAAAUAUUUUAGUUGAGAAGCAACUGUAU